Lates calcarifer (barramundi perch) is the source of this 1917-nucleotide long non-coding RNA. RefSeq lists it as uncharacterized. The record is from RefSeq and is a predicted model, not a curated record. The transcript has 3 exons. Lineage: Eukaryota; Metazoa; Chordata; Actinopteri; Centropomidae.
UCCACCUCCGCCUGGGAUCUGCUCUGAAGGAACUUCUGAGACCAAAGUGAGGAGUUCUCCAGUUUUGGAAGGAAAAAGUUCUUCGGGCAGGAUUGUUAAGACUGAAGAUGUCUUUAAAGAGGCGGCUGCUGUCUAUGUUGUUGUGCUGUGUUUACUGCGUGGCCUCGAUCUUCUGCUUCCACCCAAACCGCAACAACUGCUUCUCUGUCGGAGCUCGGAAUCUGGUGUCAGUCGUCCAGCAGCUUUACCAGCGCGUCAUUCGCCUGCUGCGCACCACUCUGUGAUCCUGUUUUGAACCGUUAACCCUGAACCUGCCCCGUCUCCGUGGCCAGCUGCGUCCAGCAUGUCCUCCAGUAGCACAUUACCAGUUAAAAAGAGAAAGAAGAAACAGAGGAAGAGCAAUGGCGUCGUGUUCUCUGAUCUGCUCAACACUGCGUUUCUCUGACUGUACUUCAGCUGAAGAGAAUCUAAAAAAUGUAUUUUUUUCUAUUGAUGCAGGUUAACAUAAUGACGCGAGUGAGGUGGGAAGGAUGUCAGCAGUCCUCUUUUAAAUGCUUUUAAAGCAGGUUCACUAGUUGCUCUGCACAUGCCGAGGAAUAAUGAAGCUCAAAGAAAUUUGCUCGUGACCAAGAGGAUGCUGAGAGAAUCUGUCACAUGUGACGGAGCAAAUUCUCUCCCCUUCAUAUUUGAGGUCUAUAAUUUGGGUAAACCUAUCCAAACCUAUCGAUCUUUUAGCUGAAAUGCUUAUCCUUAAGGGUCGCAGGGCGGAUGGAACCAAUCCCAGCUGAUACUAUCACAAUGCCGACAUACACACAACCUCUCACAUUCACACCUACAGGUGAUUUAGAGUCACCAGCUAACCUAACCUGCAUGUCUCUGGACUGUGGGAGGAAGCUGGAGUACCCGCAGGAGAACACACUCCACACGGAAAAGCCCAGGGUGAGUCAGGGUUUGAACCCAGAACCUCCUUCUUGCUGUGAGGCGAUGGGGUUAACCAAACCCAAACCCAACAAGGAGCAAGAUCUGAGGGGAGACUGGAUCAAGAAGGGGGCCCAGAGAGAGUCACAAUCGAUCUGAAGCAGACCUGAGGAUAAACAGAUCUGAUCCAAACUGCAGUCGACUGAAAUAGAGAGAGCACUAACACUUGCCUACAGACAGGAUGAGGAAAAAGCUGCAGCACUUUUUUCACGUUUACAGCAACUAAAACGACUUUGAGGGAUGGUCGGCCCAGGUUACAUACCACUGGUUGUGUGCAGAUACUGUUUUGAGAUAUCUCUGAGCUUUGUGCCUCUACGGCAACAGAAAGGAGGUGAAUGGAAUUUAGUUUGUGGAGCUCAAAGCAAUGAAAAUGACAUUUAAAAGAGGAUCUAAAUCUUAAAAACAUGUCCCUGUUAUGGUGGAUUCUCCACAGAAAACAACAGGUUCCACAGGGAAUAAUUCUGCGUAAGAAAACAGCUUCAACUUUUCAAACGCUUACAGUGAGGUAGCUUGUCAGGAAAACAUAAAUAUGGGUUGUUGUUGUUGUAGACUGUAUGAAAAAAGCUGCUGAUGUGUUGUUGUGAUGAGGACAGUUUCUCCAUAGAUGUUGAAAAAGACAGACGUCCACAGCAAUACCCAGAGCAAGCUUUUUAGUGCCGAGAUGAAGCAUUUUCAAAAAAAAAUCUAAUCUUUAGUAAUGUGCUACAGUGAAGUUUUGUGGUAAAAGAGCUGAUCACAGAUAUAAUUUUAGUUGUAAUGCUUGAGUGAAGUGAAUGGGCUCUAAUAUUCUGUGCUGCCUGUUGAAAACAGUGGUGAUUUGAGCGUUAACACUGAGCUAUGACAACUGUCCACUGAGAUGAUACGAUUGAUGACUUUAACUUGAAGUUCUGCUUCAGCUGGUGUGUCUGGAGACUUAUUUCAUAUCAUAAUUUAAAUGUA